RNAcentral lists this ribosomal RNA (600 nucleotides) under uncultured bacterium. RNAcentral's name for it is "bacterial SSU rRNA". It matches the Rfam family "Bacterial small subunit ribosomal RNA", at positions 738 to 1346 of the family's 1533-position model. The record is from RNAcentral.
AACUGACGCUGAGGCACGAAAGCGUGGGUAGCAAACAGGAUUAGAUACCCUGGUAGUCCACGCUGUAAACGAUGAUUACUAGGUGUGGGGGGUCUGACCCCUUCCGUGCCGGAGUUAACACAAUAAGUAAUCCACCUGGGGAGUACGACCGCAAGGUUGAAACUCAAAGGAAUUGACGGGGGCCCGCACAAGCAGUGGAGUAUGUGGUUUAAUUCGAAGCAACGCGAAGAACCUUACCAGGUCUUGACAUCGAGUGACGAAUCUAGAGAUAGAUUUUUCCUUCGGGACACGAAGACAGGUGGUGCAUGGUUGUCGUCAGCUCGUGUCGUGAGAUGUUGGGUUAAGUCCCGCAACGAGCGCAACCCUUGCUAUUAGUUGCUACGCAAGAGCACUCUAAUAGGACUGCCGUUGACAAAACGGAGGAAGGUGGGGACGACGUCAAAUCAUCAUGCCCCUUAUGACCUGGGCUACACACGUACUACAAUGGAUGUUAACAGAGGGAAGCAAAAUAGCGAUAUGGAGCAAACCCCUAAAAGCAUUCCCAGUUCAGAUUGCAGGCUGCAACUCGCCUGUAUGAAGUUGGAAUUGCUAGUAAUCGCG